Molecule: transfer RNA, 74 nt
Filed under: Caerostris extrusa
Lineage: Eukaryota; Metazoa; Arthropoda; Arachnida; Araneae; Araneidae
Description: tRNA-Ile
Rfam family: tRNA
About the family: Transfer RNA (tRNA) molecules are approximately 80 nucleotides in length. Their secondary structure includes four short double-helical elements and three loops (D, anti-codon, and T loops). Further hydrogen bonds mediate the characteristic L-shaped molecular structure. tRNAs have two regions of fundamental functional importance: the anti-codon, which is responsible for specific mRNA codon recognition, and the 3' end, to which the tRNAs corresponding amino acid is attached (by aminoacyl-tRNA synthetases). tRNAs cope with the degeneracy of the genetic code in two manners: having more than one tRNA (with a specific anti-codon) for a particular amino acid; and 'wobble' base-pairing, i.e. permitting non-standard base-pairing at the 3rd anti-codon position.
Source: RNAcentral
AGCCCAUUAGCUCAGUUGUUUAGAGCGUCGUGCUAAUAACGCGAAGGUCGCGGGUUCAAUCCCCUCAUGGGCCA